AACGCUAGCUACAGGCUUAACACAUGCAAGUCGAGGGGUAGCGUGAGGGAAGCUUGCUUCCCUUGACGACGACCGGCGAAUGGGUGAGUCACGCGUGUCCAACCUGCCCCGUGCCCGGGGAUAGCCCUUGGAAAUGAGGAUUAAGACCCGAUAUGUGGCGCUUCCGCAUGGCGGCGCCAUGAAGCAGGCACGGGAUGGGGACGCGUCGGAUUAGCUUGACGGCGGGGCAACGGCCCACCGUGGCGACGAUCCGCAGGGGUUCUGAGAGGAAGGUCCCCCACACUGGCACUGAGACACGGGCCAGACUCCUACGGGAGGCAGCAGUGAGGAAUAUUGGUCAAUGGACGAGAGUCUGAACCAGCCAAGUAGCGUGCAGGAAGACGGCCCUAUGGGUUGUAAACUGCUUUUAUAAGGGAAUAAAGUGAGUCUCGUGAGACUUUUUGCAUGUACCUUAUGAAUAAGGACCGGCUAAUUCCGUGCCAGCAGCCGCGGUAAUACGGAAGGUCCGGGCGUUAUCCGGAUUUAUUGGGUUUAAAGGGAGCGUAGGCCGGAGAUUAAGCGUGUUGUGAAAUGUAGACGCUCAACGUCUGCACUGCAGCGCGAACUGGUUUCCUUGAGUACGCACAAAGUGGGCGGAAUUCGUGGUGUAGCGGUGAAAUGCUUAGAUAUCACGAAGAACUCCGAUUG
This 687-nucleotide ribosomal RNA is filed under the name uncultured bacterium. RNAcentral describes it as "bacterial SSU rRNA". It matches the Rfam family "Bacterial small subunit ribosomal RNA", at positions 32 to 715 of the family's 1533-position model. The record is from RNAcentral.